GAUGAACGCUGGCGGCGUGCCUAAUACAUGCAAGUAGAACGCUGAAGGAGGAGCUUCUCUUCUGGAUGAGUUGCGAACGGGUGAGUAACGCGUAGGUAACCUGCCUGGUAGCGGGGGAUAACUAUUGGAAACGAUAGCUAAUACCGCAUGACAACAGUUAUUGCAUGAUAACUGUUUAAAAGGGGCAACUGCUCCACUACCAGAUGGACCUGCGUUGUAUUAGCUAGUUGGUGAGGUAACGGCUCACCAAGGCGACGAUACAUAGCCGACCUGAGAGGGUGAUCGGCCACACUGGGACUGAGACACGGCCCAGACUCCUACGGGAGGCAGCAGUAGGGAAUCUUCGGCAAUGGACGGAAGUCUGACCGAGCAACGCCGCGUGAGUGAAGAAGGUUUUCGGAUCGUAAAGCUCUGUUGUAAGAGAAGAACGAGUGUGAGAGUGGAAAGUUCACACUGUGACGGUAUCUUACCAGAAAGGGACGGCUAACUACGUG
Molecule: ribosomal RNA, 494 nt
Filed under: uncultured bacterium
Lineage: Bacteria
Description: partial 16S ribosomal RNA
Rfam family: Bacterial small subunit ribosomal RNA
Source: RNAcentral